GAAAAAUAUACUAUUUGAAGUUAGAAACUUUAUGGUUAAACAGCAGGUUAGACACACCUAAAAGGAGAAUGAACUGGAAGUAGAUCUGAAGAAGUUACACAGAUGGAACAAAGGGGUACAGAGUGAUGGAAACUAAGGGAAAGAGGUUAAAAAACAUGGAAGAUAGAGAAGGUAUGGCAUAUAAUCAGAGUUCCAGAAGGAGAGAAUAUUUUAAAGAGACAGAAUUUUGGGGAAUUGAUAAAAUUUAUAAACUCUUAAGAGUCAGGAAAUCCAAUUAAUCCCAAGCAGGAUUGGGGAAAAAAUCCCAAAACUAGAUAAAUCUUAAGAAAUUACAGAACAUUAGAAAGACUAACAUCUAAAAAGCAGCUGUAAAGAAAAAGAAGAGAGGUGGUGGAAUUAGAUGGUAGGACACCUGUUGCUCAAUGCUUCUGGGAUGGGGCAAAAGAUUUAGUUUCGAUGACAGAAGUGUGAGGAGGAGGAUAAAAUGCACUUCUCCCAGUGAUUGUAAGCCCAGGGCUGCAGCUGCCAGGAUAGUUUGCCCAGAGGGAGUGAGGGGCCCUGUACUAGAGUCCCCACCAUCACGUGUCAAGCCUACUUUAAACCAAAGCACAGACUGACUGAUAAAAGCAGGGAAAGACUAUUCAACUGUUAGGCUCACAGAACCACUGAGAAGGCUGGAGAGAAGCUCAAAAAAGAGAGAAGAGCAGCCCAGGAAUAAAGUGAGCAUUAAAGCACUCUAAAUCUGACCUCGGAACCAGAGUGUUGAUGUGAAGAUGUCACUGUUGCUGCCAAAUUACUGCUUUCCCCUGCCUUGCUCUAGAUUGAGGAAUACCCUGCAGAGGCAGCUGAUUAGCUGGGCGUUGGUCACCUGGCUGCAAGGGGAACACUGGGAAAGCAAUCUGUCUCUUAUAUGGUGGGCUCUACCUUCUCUCUAGGUUUGUGGUGAGGAGUUUCCAAUGUUGAAAAGGGGGUUCAGAUGAUGGGUG
Ceratotherium simum simum (southern white rhinoceros) is the source of this 986-nucleotide non-coding RNA. The record is from RefSeq and is a predicted model, not a curated record. Lineage: Eukaryota; Metazoa; Chordata; Mammalia; Perissodactyla; Rhinocerotidae.